AUUGAACGCUGGCGGAAUGCUUUACACAUGCAAGUCGAACGGCAGCACGGACUUCGGUCUGGUGGCGAGUGGCGAACGGGUGAGUAACAUAUCGGAACGUAUCCAAUAAUGGGGGAUAACUAAUCGAAAGGUUGGCUAAUACCGCAUACGCCCUACGGGGGAAAGCAGGGGAUCUCCGGACCUUGCGUUAAUGGAGCGGCUGAUAUCUGAUUAGCUAGUUGGUGAGGUAAAGGCUCACCAAGGCGACGAUCAGUAGCUGGUCUGAGAGGACGACCAGCCACACUGGAACUGAGACACGGUCCAGACUCCUACGGGAGGCAGCAGGGGGGAAUUUUGGACAAUGGGCGCAAGCCUGAUCCAGCCAUUCCGCGUGAGUGAAGAAGGCCUUCGGGUUGUAAAGCUCUUUCGCAAGGGAAGAAAACUUACUUUCUAAUAAAGAGUGAGGUUGACGGUACCUUGAUAAGAAGCACCGGCUAACUACGUGCCAGCCGCCGCAGUAA
Molecule: ribosomal RNA, 500 nt
Filed under: uncultured bacterium
Lineage: Bacteria
Description: partial 16S ribosomal RNA
Rfam family: Bacterial small subunit ribosomal RNA
Source: RNAcentral